CGCUAAGAAGCUAAACUAGCGUUAACCUUUUAAGUUAAAGAUUGAGAGUUAUAGACUCCCCUUAGUGA
This 68-nucleotide transfer RNA is filed under the name Stenella attenuata (bridled dolphin). RNAcentral describes it as "tRNA-Lys". It matches the Rfam family "tRNA". From Rfam's summary of the family: Transfer RNA (tRNA) molecules are approximately 80 nucleotides in length. Their secondary structure includes four short double-helical elements and three loops (D, anti-codon, and T loops). Further hydrogen bonds mediate the characteristic L-shaped molecular structure. tRNAs have two regions of fundamental functional importance: the anti-codon, which is responsible for specific mRNA codon recognition, and the 3' end, to which the tRNAs corresponding amino acid is attached (by aminoacyl-tRNA synthetases). tRNAs cope with the degeneracy of the genetic code in two manners: having more than one tRNA (with a specific anti-codon) for a particular amino acid; and 'wobble' base-pairing, i.e. permitting non-standard base-pairing at the 3rd anti-codon position. The record is from RNAcentral. Lineage: Eukaryota; Metazoa; Chordata; Mammalia; Artiodactyla; Delphinidae.